GAAGCGGCAACAGCUCAAAUUUGAAAUCUGGCGCAAGCCCGAGUUGUAAUUUGCAGAGGAUGCUUUUGGUGCGGUGCCUUCUGAGUUCCCUGGAACGGGACGCCGGAGAGGGUGAGAGCCCCGUACAGUUGGACACCAAGCCUUUGUAAAGCUCCUUCGACGAGUCGAGUAGUUUGGGAAUGCUGCUCAAAAUGGGAGGUAAAUGCCUUCUAAAGCUAAAUACCGGCCAGAGACCGAUAGCGCACAAGUAGAGUGAUCGAAAGAUGAAAAGCACUUUGAAAAGAGGGUUAAAAAGUACGUGAAAUUGUUGAAAGGGAAGGGCUCGUGACCAGACUUGCGCCCGUCGGAUCAUCCGGCCUUCUGGCCGGUGCACUCCGGCGGGCUCAGGCCAGCAUCGGUUCUUCUGGGGGGACAAAAGCGGCGGGAACGUAGCUCCUCCGGGAGUGUUAUAGCCCGCCGCAGAAUACCCCCGGGGGGACCGAGGACCGCGCUUCGGCAAGGAUGCUGGCGUAAUGGUCACCAGCCA
This 526-nucleotide ribosomal RNA is filed under the name Myrmecridium schulzeri. Its description in RNAcentral is "LSU rRNA". It matches the Rfam family "Eukaryotic large subunit ribosomal RNA", at positions 95 to 647 of the family's 3401-position model. Lineage: Eukaryota; Fungi; Ascomycota; Sordariomycetes; Myrmecridiales; Myrmecridiaceae. The record is from RNAcentral.